AUGGCACCGACUCAGAAGCUCAGGAUCCUUGCCGUGGCCGCCACCGCCACCGUUGUGGCAUCGUCGCUGGUCGGCAUGGCCUCCGCGGCUGAUGGACCAGCCCCCGCACCAGCCUCCGGCGCGUCGGUGACUGCCCCGGCUGUUGCCAUGGCGUCCUUGACCGCCCUCGUCUUUGGCUACUUCUUCUAA
RNAcentral lists this ribosomal RNA (189 nucleotides) under Triticum aestivum (bread wheat). RNAcentral describes it as "partial small subunit ribosomal RNA". The record is from RNAcentral. Lineage: Eukaryota; Viridiplantae; Streptophyta; Magnoliopsida; Poales; Poaceae.